UAAAAAAAAUAUUAUAUAUAAUUUGCUGUCAAAGAAUAUGGGAAUGAGGGUGAAAAUCCUUCGCUGGCACGCAACCGUAAAGUUUAGUUUUUUAUAUAAAUAAAAUAACUAACGAAGUCGGAUACCAUUAAAAUAGGGAGUGCACUG
RNAcentral lists this non-coding RNA (147 nucleotides) under Brachyspira hyodysenteriae. Lineage: Bacteria; Pseudomonadati; Spirochaetota; Spirochaetia; Brachyspirales; Brachyspiraceae. The record is from RNAcentral.